UGCUAGUUGUACGAGUUUAGACUCGUAGCAGAUAGCUCAGUAACACGUGGCCAAACUACCCUAUGGAUCCGGACAACCUCGGGAAACUGAGGCUAAUCCGGAAUACGACUCUCAGCCUGGAAGUGGCGAGAGUCAGAAACGCCCCGGCGCCAUAGGAUGUGGCUGCGGCCGAUUAGGUAGACGGUGGGGUAACGGCCCACCGUGCCCAUAAUCGGUACGGGUUGUGAGAGCAAGAGCCCGGAGACGGUAUCUGAGACAAGAUACCGGGCCCUACGGGGCGCAGCAGGCGCGAAACCUUUACACUGCACGAAAGUGCGAUAAGGGGACUCCAAGUGCGAGGGCAUAUAGUCCUCGCUUUUCACUACCGUAAGGAGGUAGUAGAAUAAGUGCUGGGCAAGACCGGUGCCAGCCGCCGCGGUAAUACCGGCAGCACGAGUGAUGACCGCUCUUAUUGGGCCUAAAGCGUCCGUAGCUGGCCACGCAAGUCUAUCGGGAAAUCCGCGCGCUCAACGCGCGGGCGUCCGGUGGAAACUGUGUGGCUUGGGACCGGAAGAUCUAGAGGGUACGUCUGGGGUAGGAGUGAAAUCCCGUAAUCCUGGACGGACCACCGGUGGCGAAAGCGCUCUGGAAAGACGGAUCCGACGGUGAGGGACGAAAGCUCGGGUCACGAACCGGAUUAGAUACCCGGGUAGUCCGAGCUGUAAACGAUGUCUGCUAGGUGUGCCACAGGCUACGAGCCUGUGGUGUGCCGUAGGGAAGCCGUGAAGCAGACCGCCUGGGAAGUACGUCCGCAAGGAUGAAACUUAA
RNAcentral lists this ribosomal RNA (807 nucleotides) under uncultured euryarchaeote. RNAcentral's name for it is "bacterial SSU rRNA". It matches the Rfam family "Archaeal small subunit ribosomal RNA", at positions 52 to 859 of the family's 1478-position model. The record is from RNAcentral. Lineage: Archaea; Methanobacteriati; Methanobacteriota.